This 87-nucleotide transfer RNA is filed under the name Firmicutes bacterium ASF500. It matches the Rfam family "tRNA". Rfam says of the family: Transfer RNA (tRNA) molecules are approximately 80 nucleotides in length. Their secondary structure includes four short double-helical elements and three loops (D, anti-codon, and T loops). RNAcentral also lists the same sequence under 2 other names. Lineage: Bacteria; Bacillati; Bacillota. The record is from Rfam by way of RNAcentral.
GCAGUAGUAUCGAAGUGGUCAUAACGAGCACGACUGGAAAUCGUGUAGCCUGAUAAGGGCUCGAGGGUUCGAAUCCCUCCUACUGCG